CAGUAGCCGCGGUAAUACGUAGGUGGCAAGCGUUGUCCGGAAUUAUCGGGCGUAAAGGGCUCGCAGGCGGUUUCUUAAGUCUGAUGUGAAAGCCCCCGGCUCAACCGGGGAGGGUCAUUGGAAACUGGGAAACUUGAGUGCAGAAGAGGAGAGUGGAAUUCCACGUGUAGCGGUGAAAUGCGUAGAGGUGUGGAGGAACACCAGUGGCGAAGGCGACUCUCUGGUCUGUAACUGACGCUGAGGAGCGAAAGCGUGGGGAGCGAACAGGAUUAGAUACCCCUGUAGUCCCUGUCUCUUAUAU
This 301-nucleotide ribosomal RNA is filed under the name uncultured bacterium. RNAcentral describes it as "partial 16S ribosomal RNA". It matches the Rfam family "Bacterial small subunit ribosomal RNA", at positions 509 to 809 of the family's 1533-position model. The record is from RNAcentral.